RNAcentral lists this ribosomal RNA (313 nucleotides) under Hyphomonas sp. RNAcentral describes it as "bacterial SSU rRNA". It matches the Rfam family "Bacterial small subunit ribosomal RNA", at positions 1 to 348 of the family's 1533-position model. The record is from RNAcentral. Lineage: Bacteria; Pseudomonadati; Pseudomonadota; Alphaproteobacteria; Hyphomonadales; Hyphomonadaceae.
CACUCAACUUGAGAGUUUGAUUCUGGCUCAGAACGAACGCUGGCGGCAGGCCUAACACAUGCAAGUCGAACGACAUAGUGGCAGACGGGUGAGUAACGCGUGGGAACGUACCUUUCGCUACGGAAUAGCUCUUGGAAACGAGUGGUAAUACCGUAUACGCCCUCCGGGGGAAAGAUUUAUCGGCGAAAGAUCGGCCCGCGUUAGAUUAGUUUGUUGGUGGGGUAAUGGCCUACCAAGACUACGAUCUAUAGCUGGUCUGAGAGGAUGAUCAGCCACACUGGGACUGAGACACGGCCCAGACUCCUACGGGAGG